AUAAAUUGGAAAAAUUUUGGAGAUUUGCUGCUGUUGGCAAAACAGAUAAACUACACAGCCUAGAAAUAUUGAAAACAUUGUUCACCCGGGCCCCGCAGCCAGUGGAAUUGGCCCCACUCUGUGGCUGCCGGGGCCUGUGCACUGGAAUUGCCGUGGCCUGCAAGCCCCACCAUGCCAGUUUGAACCUCCGUGGCCUCAACCAGAUUCGGAAUGUCAAAAAGCAGAGUAUCUAUUGGAUGAAUUUGAGGAAAUCAGGAAGUUUGGGCCACCCAGCCUCUCUAGAUGAGACUUCCUAUGAAAGACUAGCAGAGGAAUCACUGGACUGUUUAGCAGAGUUUUUUGAAGACCUUGCAGACAAGCCAUACACGUUUGAGGAUUAUGAUGCUUCCUUUGGGAGUGAUGUCUUAACUGGUAGACUGGGUGGAGAUCUAGGAACCUACGUGAUCAACAAGCAGAUGCCAAACAAGCAAAUCUGGUUAUCUUCUCCAUCCAGUGGACUCAAGCGUUAUGACUGGACUGGGAAAAACUGGGUGUACUCCCACGAUAGCGUGUCCCUCCGUGAUCUGCUGGCUGCAGAGCUCACUAAAGCCUUAAAAACCAAACCGGACUUGUCUUCCUUGGCCUAUUCUGGAAAAGACGCUUGAUACCCAGCCCAGUUGUAAGGUUAUUUAAAGCUGUCAGGCCAAGACCCCAGCUUCAUUAUGCAGCUGAGGUCUUUUUUUUUUUUUUUUGGUUUUUUGUUUUUCAUUCCUGCCUUUGAGGAACAGCUCUGUGGCAAGAAUGUGUUGCCUCCUACCUUGCCCGCACGUUUUGAUUUGUAAUUUCUACAGAUUUUUUUGGAUUGUCUGAUUUCCUCCCUCACAUGAUACCCUUUAUCUUUUAUAAUGUCUUAUCCCUAUACCUGAACAUAGCAACCUUUAAAAAAGCAAAAGAAUAAGAAGGACAAGUUCCAGGAGGAGAAAUGAAUUGUCUUCACUCUUCAUUCUAUGAAGGACUUAGGGCAAGAAGUACAUGAAGAGCAGCUGGUUUACCUGUUCACUAUUCUGUCUCAAAAUGAGACACAUUAAUGGGUAGGCUACAAAUGUUCCCGGGCUUAUUUCAAAGUGGAAGCACUUCUGAGCUCUUUAGCAUUGAAGUGUCGAAAGCAGUUCACAUGGGAAGACAAUUUCUGAUGUGUGCUCUGUGACUGCCAGGGUGUGGCCUGCACUGGGUUGUCCAGGGAGACCUAGUGCUGUUUCUUCCACAUGUUCACGUGUGUAUAUGUGUGUGUGUGUACUUUUAUAUAUGUUUUUUUCAACUUAAGGGUUAGUAUGGAUUCAGCUGCCACAAGUAUGCAAAAAACUUCCAAUCACAAGAAAGGAGAAAAAAAGCCAUUUUCAUAAACUGAGUGAUGUAGCAUAAUAAACAAAAUCAUGGAGCUGAGGAGUUACUUUGUGAACGUGAAGGGGCAUAUAAAGGAAAGAGAUACUCAUGUCGAUAAAGAGAACCUAGUCCUAGAUGCAGUUCAGCCACAAAGUAGUUGUCCCUUUGUGAACAAGUUUCCCAAACUCCUUGGGCCUCUGCUUUCCCAUCUGUUAAAUGAGGGGAUGGAGUGUGGUUGAUUUCCAGCAUUCAGUGGUCCUGUCAAGCAGCCUAACAGGCUAGCUCUAAUUCCCAUUGGGUAGAUGAGGGGAUGACAAAGAGCAAUUUGUAAGCUAUAUAGGAAAUGUUAUUGGUAUCCCCCUAUCGGGAUUUCAGUUGAAUUCAUGUUAAAAUAAUAGCCAUCCUUUAUUGUGCGCUUACUGGGUUAAGCCUAUUAUACCAUAUUACCUCAUUUUAAUUUCUACCGACCUGCAGUUUAUACAUGAAGCAACUAGGCUCCAGGACAUUAAAACUCACACAAAGUUAUGCUCAUAUUAUUUUCUUACUGAAAGAAGGAUUUAUUAGUGACAAGUUUGUAUUAAUAUGUAGCAAAGGCUUUUCCAAUGGGUGAAUAAAAACACAUUACA
Molecule: RNA transcript, 1988 nt
Organism: Rhinopithecus roxellana (golden snub-nosed monkey)
Lineage: Eukaryota; Metazoa; Chordata; Mammalia; Primates; Cercopithecidae
Gene name: frataxin, mitochondrial pseudogene
Exons: 1
Source: RefSeq, a predicted model, not a curated record